UACGUAGGGUGCAAGCGUUAAUCGGAAUUACUGGGCGUAAAGCGUGCGCAGGCGGUUUUGUAAGCCAGAUGUGAAAUCCCCGGGCUCAACCUGGGAAUUGCGAUGGAGACUGCAAGGCUAGAAUCUGGCAGAGGGGGGUAGAAUUCCACGUGUAGCAGUGAAAUGCGUAGAGAUGUGGAGGAACACCGAUGGCGAAGGCAGCCCCCUGGGUCAAGAUUGACGCUCAUGCACGAAAGCGUGGGGAGCAAACAGG
Molecule: ribosomal RNA, 253 nt
Filed under: uncultured bacterium
Lineage: Bacteria
Description: partial 16S ribosomal RNA
Rfam family: Bacterial small subunit ribosomal RNA
Source: RNAcentral